Nomascus leucogenys (northern white-cheeked gibbon) is the source of this 994-nucleotide long non-coding RNA. RefSeq lists it as uncharacterized. The record is from RefSeq and is a predicted model, not a curated record. Lineage: Eukaryota; Metazoa; Chordata; Mammalia; Primates; Hylobatidae. The transcript has 2 exons.
GUUCAUAUUCAGAGAGAAAGUAGAUCAAACAAUGAAACCAUAUGUACUCAGAGAAAAACUGUAGGUUAGGAAAAAUUAGGGACCAAAACUGAUAAAACAGUAAACUAUUUUAAACAAAAGACCUAAAACAAAAUUAUGGAACACAGCCCAUGGGUAAACACGUCAACAGCAACAGUAUUUACUAAAACAAGAACCCUUUCCCUCUCUAACAUAUCUUAGUCUAAACAAGUGGAAGGGGAGAAAUGAUGUAGAAUUAUUGCUUUGCCCAUUUUAAAAAAGGGGAUUUCAUCUAAAAUGUAACUUUUUAAGGGAGAAAAAAAGAACAAAGAAUCCAUGACGACAACCCAGAUUUAAAAUUCUUAGGUAUUUGGGUAACAACAACUAGAGCUCAGUGGUACAAACUUUGCCUCUCAAGCUGGUCUUAGAACAUGAAGGAAAAAAAAACUGAACAAUUCAAAUACUACCUGAAUUCAACUACUACCUGAAAGGUACCAGUUGCCUUGCAUUCACUUGUCAUCAAGAUGACUUAAGGAAUACUGCAGUGUGUGCCCCUAAUGAAGGCUUUAUCUCCAUAUUACAGUUAAAAUACUGAAGAGGCAUAACCUGACCAAGGCCACAGAGCUGGAAAAAGAAGCAAAGCCAAGCCCUUUUUCUCAUGCACUGCUCACAACAAGCCACUCCUUCCACUGACUCAUGAAAAACACACUCAUACUGCCCAGCCAGCACCCUAAUGAACAACCCUCUUAGAGUGGUCACCAGACUUCAAUUGCACAGACUAGAAUUCAGAAAUGGAAGAAAACCUUGGGAUACCAGCCUUCCAUUUUGGUAAGGAUCAUUUAAAAAAUGUGUUGGUGUCUGAAACCUACUUUGAAGUGUUUAAAAAACAUAAAAUGUAUAGAUUAUAACAAGCAAAUAUGUUAAAAUGUACUGUACAAUUCUUUACAAUUUUAUGGAUGUUUGAAAUUUCAAAAAUACUAAAAAGAGAAUGGUCUUA